Molecule: long non-coding RNA, 1190 nt
Organism: Hemicordylus capensis (graceful crag lizard)
Lineage: Eukaryota; Metazoa; Chordata; Lepidosauria; Squamata; Cordylidae
Exons: 5
Source: RefSeq, a predicted model, not a curated record
GAGGGAGGGAAGAAGCUGGGUUCAAGGGAAAGGAAUGGUAGGAUGGGGCCAGCAGGACACACAGGAGGGUUUACGCUCCUCUGGCCUGGGGAGUUGUUGAUUUAAAGUAUUCCAAGGAUACCCCAAGAACAUGUACAUCAUGAGAACUUGCCUCUGGGGUUGUCAUCUCCAUCUGCUAUAAUGUAUCUCCCUUGAUUUCAUCUCCAUGUGAACCAUCUAUGGUCUGCAAUCUCCUGCCUCCUUACAUAGCUUGCAGAUAAUCCGCAUUCUCAGUUAUCCGAGUGGUGUCAUCAGCGUAGCACAAGUUAUUGAUGUUUCUUCCUCCAACUUUAAAACCACACUCAUCUUCUUCCAAUCCAGCUUCUCUCCGUAUAUGUUCCGCAUAUACGUUGAAUAAAGAUGUCUGAAGCUGGUGCGCUUUCCUCAAGUGGACACCCCAGAAAUUGAGCCGGAGGAUCCGUGGACGUGGUGAAACCUGCAGAUAUCCACCAACUCCUAGGACUUGGUUUCUGGGCCCCUCACCAUCUUUGUUGUCUUUCAAACCCAUCCCAAGAUAUGGAGAAGAACUUCAGAACCCUUUUUUGAUGUCCCCCUCUCUGUCAUGGAAGACAGAGGCGAGCAUGCAGAUGAAGCCUGACUGACACCAGGUUGGAGGAGACGAUUCGGCAGCAGUGGAGCCAAGCGAUUCCUAUACAGACAGGAGCGGGUCAUGCAGUGGCUGCGGAGACAAGGCAAGUUCUCUUGCACGGAAGGCUGGAGGCGAGCCUGCGCAUGAAGCCUGCUGAUGCCAGUGGCUUGAAGCUGAUGGACGCCAGCCGAGCGGACCCGGCGGAAGCUGGUGGAUGUUGGGGAGAUGUCUGAAGCUGGUGUGCUUUCCUCAAGUGGACACCCUAGAAAUUGAGCCGGAGGAUCGGUGGAUGUGGUGAAACCAACUCCCAGGACUUGGUUUCUGGGCCCCACACCAUCUUUGUUGUCUUUUGAACCCAUCCCAAGGUAUGGAGGAGAACUUCAGAACCCAUUUUGAUGUCCCGCUCUCUGUCAUGGUUUGUAUGUUUGCUAGGAGGGCAGAGAGAGUUCCAUGGUGUGUAGGAGAUCUUCAGAAGCAGUUUUCCUCCCAAUUUAUGAUUGUAUAACCACUUUAUCUAUUAUUUGUAUGUUUUCUAAACAAUAAAGUCUCCUCUUGCGAAUUA